RNAcentral lists this long non-coding RNA (1190 nucleotides) under Equus caballus (horse). RNAcentral describes it as "lncRNA (ENSECAG00000050580.1)". Lineage: Eukaryota; Metazoa; Chordata; Mammalia; Perissodactyla; Equidae. The record is from RNAcentral.
GUCAUGCAGGUGGUUCUGGUCUGUCCUGUAGGCGGUUUCGGCAUGUCUGGUACAUGGUUCUGUCACGUCUUAGAGGUGGUUACACGAUGCCCGACAGGUGAUUCCGGAGUGUCCGCCAAGUGGUUCUCGCAUAUAAGGCAGGUGAUUUUGGCAUGUCUGGCACGUCGUUCUGGUACGUCGAGCAGGUGGUUCCGGCGUGCUCGGCAGGUGGUUCAGGCAUGUCCGGCAGGUGGUUCUGGUCUGUCCGGGAGGUGGUUCCAGCAAGUCGAGCAGGAGGUUCCGGCGUGCUCAUGAGUUGGUUCAGGCAUGUUGGGCAGAUGAUUUUGCAGUGACCGCCAGUGGUUCAGGCAUAGCUGGGAGGUGAUUUUGGCGUGUCCGUAAGGUGGUUCCGGCGAGUAGAGCAGGUGGUUCCAGGGUGCUUGGCAGUUGGUUCCGGCGUGUCCGGCACGUGGUUCUGGCACGUCUGAGUGGUGGUUCAGGCAUGACCAGCAUGUGAUUCCGGACUGUCUGCCAAAUCGUUUGGGCGUACCCAGAAGGUGAUAUUGGCGAGUCCGGCAGGUGGCUCCAGCGAUUCGAACAGGUGGUUCCGGCAUGCUCGGCAGGUGGUUCUGGAGUGCUUGGCAAUUGGUUCCGGUCUGUCCGGGAGGUGGUUCCGUCAUGUUUGUUACGUGGUUCUGGCACGUCUGAGACGUGGUUCCUGCAUGCCCGGCAGGUGAUUCCGGAGUUUCCAGCAAGUGGUUCUGGUGUAGCCGGUAGGUGAUUUUGGCAUGUCCGGCAGGUGGUUCCAGCGAGUGGAGAGGUGGUUAAGGCACGCUCAGCAGGUGGUUCAGGCAUGUCUGGCAGGUGGUUCCGCUCUGUCUGAGAGGUGGUUCCCGCACUCCCGGCUGUUGAUUCCAGAGAGUCCGCCAUGUGUUUGUGGCAUAACUGGGAGAGGAUUUUGGUGUGUCCGGCACGUGGUCCUGGCUCAUUUGAGAGGUGGUUCCGUCAUGCCCGGGAAGUGAUUCCGGAGUGACCGCCAAGUGUUUCUGGCGUAGCCGGCACAUGAUUUUGGCGCAGACGGUUCAGGCGAGUCGAGCAGGAGUUCUGGCGUGCUCGGCAGGUGGUUCAGGAAUGUUUGGCAGUUUGUUCCGCUCUGUCUGGGAGGUGGUUCCGGCAUGUCCGGCACGUGGUUCUGGCAUGUCUGAAUGUGG